GACGAACGCUGGCGGCGUGCUUAACACAUGCAAGUCGAACGGACAGGCCCUGCUUUUGUGGGGUUCUCGAUUGGCGAACGGGUGAGUAACACGUGAGUAACCUGCCCUUGACUUUGGGAUAACUUCAGGAAACUGGGGCUAAUACCGGAUAGGAGCUCCUGCUGCAUGUUGGGGGUUGGAAAGUUUCGGCGGUUGGGGAUGGACUCGCGGCUUAUCAGCUUGUUGGUGGGGUAGUGGCUUACCAAGGCUUUGACGGGUAGCCGGCCUGAGAGGGUGAACGGGCACAAUGGGACUGAGAGAGGGACCAGAAGCGUACGGGAGGCAGCAGGGGAGAACAUUGCGGAGUAGGCGGAAGCCAGAGGCGGCAACGUCGGGUGCGUGAUGAUGGCUUUCGAGUUGUAAACCGCUUUCUACGGUACUGAACAGUGAGUGACGGUAAUGGGUAAAGAAGCAACGGCUAACUACGUG
This 468-nucleotide ribosomal RNA is filed under the name uncultured bacterium. Its description in RNAcentral is "partial 16S ribosomal RNA". It matches the Rfam family "Bacterial small subunit ribosomal RNA", at positions 28 to 507 of the family's 1533-position model. The record is from RNAcentral.